RNAcentral lists this ribosomal RNA (486 nucleotides) under uncultured bacterium. RNAcentral's name for it is "partial 16S ribosomal RNA". It matches the Rfam family "Bacterial small subunit ribosomal RNA", at positions 30 to 507 of the family's 1533-position model. The record is from RNAcentral.
AUUGAACGCUGGCGGCAUGCCUUACACAUGCAAGUCGAACGGCAGCACGGUUGCUUUCACCUGUUGGCGAGUGGCGAACGGGUGAGUAAUACAUCGGUACAUGUCCUGUAGUUUUGGAUAGCCCUGCGAAAGCCGGAGUUAUACCCCAUACGAUCUACGUGUUAAAUGGUGGGCCCUGGGGGCUUUGGGCUGUUGGGGUUGCCGAUGGGGGUUUUGCUAGUUGGGGGGGUAAAGUCCUACUCAGGCGCCUAGAAGGGUCUGGUGUGAGAGGGGGACCAGCGACACUGGGACUGAGACACGGACAAGAGUCCUAAGGGAGGCAGCAGUGGGGAAUUUUGGACAAUGGGCGAAAGCAUGAUACAGCAAUGCCGAGUGCGUGACGAAGGCCUUCGGGUUGUAAAGCACUUUUGUGGGGAAAGAAAUGCUUGGGCCUAAUACGGUCGGGGGAUGACGGUAACGGAAGAAUAAGCACCGGCUAACUACGUG